UGGGGAAUAUUGCACAAUGGGGGAAACCCUGAUGCAGCGACGCCGCGUGGAGGAAGAAGGUCUUCGGAUUGUAAACUCCUGUUGUUGAGGAAGAUAAUGACGGUACUCAACAAGGAAGUGACGGCUAACUACGUGCCAGCAGCCGCGGUAAAACGUAGGUCACAAGCGUUGUCCGGAAUUACUGGGUGUAAAGGGAGCGCAGGCGGGCAGACAAGUUGGAAGUGAAAUCCAUGGGCUCAACCCAUGAACUGCUUUCAAAACUGUAUGUCUUGAGUAGUGCAGAGGUAGGCGGAAUUCCCGGUGUAGCGGUGGAAUGCGUAGAUAUCGGGAGGAACACCAGUGGCGAAGGCGGCCUACUGGGCACCAACUGACGCUGAGGCUCGAAAGUGUGGGUAGCAAACA
Molecule: ribosomal RNA, 402 nt
Filed under: uncultured prokaryote
Description: bacterial SSU rRNA
Rfam family: Bacterial small subunit ribosomal RNA
Source: RNAcentral